UGGGGAAUAUUGCACAAUGGGCGCAAGCCUGAUGCAGCCAUGCCGCGUGUAUGAAGAAGGCCUUCGGGUUGUAAAGUACUUUCAGCGGGGAGGAAGGGAGUAAAGUUAAUACCUUUGCUCAUUGACGUUACCCGCAGAAGAAGCACCGGCUAACUCCGUGCCAGCAGCCGCGGUAAUACGGAGGGUGCAAGCGUUAAUCGGAAUUACGGGGCGUAAAGCGCACGCAGGCGGUUUGUUAAGUCAGAUGUGAAAUCCCCGGGCUCAACCUGGGAACUGCAUCUGAUACUGGCAAGCUUGAGUCUCGUAGAGGGGGGUAGAAUUCCAGGUGUAGCGGUGAAAUGCGUAGAGAUCUGGAGGAAUACCGGUGGCGAAGGCGGCCCCCUGGACGAAGACUGACGCUCAGGUGCGAAAGCGUGGGGAGCAAACAGG
RNAcentral lists this ribosomal RNA (429 nucleotides) under Chloroflexota bacterium. RNAcentral's name for it is "Chloroflexi bacterium partial 16S ribosomal RNA". It matches the Rfam family "Bacterial small subunit ribosomal RNA", at positions 355 to 776 of the family's 1533-position model. The record is from RNAcentral. Lineage: Bacteria; Bacillati; Chloroflexota.